UACGAAGGGGGCUAGCGUUGCUCGGAAUCACUGGGCGUAAAGCGCACGUAGGCGGCUUCUUAAGUCAGGGGUGAAAUCCUGGAGCUCAACUCCAGAACUGCCUUCGAUACUGGCGAUCUCGAGUUCGGGAGAGGUGAGUGGAACUGCGAGUGUAGAGGUGAAAUUCGUAGAUAUUCGCAAGAACACCAGUGGCGAAGGCGGCUCACUGGCCCGAUACUGACGCUGAGGUGCGAAAGCGUGGGGAGCAAACAGG
This 253-nucleotide ribosomal RNA is filed under the name uncultured bacterium. RNAcentral describes it as "partial 16S ribosomal RNA". It matches the Rfam family "Bacterial small subunit ribosomal RNA", at positions 524 to 776 of the family's 1533-position model. The record is from RNAcentral.